Molecule: non-coding RNA, 45 nt
Organism: Schistosoma rodhaini
Lineage: Eukaryota; Metazoa; Platyhelminthes; Trematoda; Strigeidida; Schistosomatidae
Source: Rfam
AUCCAGCCGACGAGCCCCAAAUAUAACGGAACGCGCGUCCUGGAU